This 2745-nucleotide unclassified non-coding RNA is filed under the name Leishmania donovani. RNAcentral describes it as "gene:LdHU3.20.1730(CDS-product:kinase-like_protei n)". The record is from RNAcentral. Lineage: Eukaryota; Euglenozoa; Kinetoplastea; Trypanosomatida; Trypanosomatidae.
ACGCACCGCAUUACUGAACACGCGCGUCUUACUCUAUCUGUGCGUCUGUCUGUGUGUGCAUGUCAGGAAGUUGACAGUCCGUCGCACCUGUUCCCCUUCUCCCCUCCCGCGCCAUCUGCACAGCCUUGAAUGCUUUUCCACCACGUAUAAGGUUACUUGGUCGCCUUUAUAAAGCAUUUUUCAAUUUUUGAGUGAUGAGUGGCCCGAUCGCUGAGAAUGCAGACAUGAUUGUGCCUUCAGCUGACACAUGCUGCCCCAACGCCCGUUUUCGAGCGGGCACUGCGGUGCGCCUGCAUUGCGAUGCGGGUCGGCGACGACCCGGGGUACAUCUGGACACCGCAGCGGCUCGGCGCUGGCUCGUUCGGCACAGUGACGCUUGCAUACCGUCACGAGGGCGACGCUGUGUGGCGCAAGACCGCGGUGAAGCGCAUAUCGCUGCGCAAAGAAAUGCGCCUCUCAGCCGUGCUGGAGAAGGUGCGGUGCGCUGGGCGCGAGGUGGCCCUGUGCCGUCGCGCUGGGGUGUCGCCGCACGUUGUGCCGAUGUACGAGCCAUGGUUCGACUGCCGGGAGGGCGUGAUCGCGCUGCCGAUGGACGCCGGUGACUUCAGCCUGGAGCAGUACGCGGUGCACUGCGGCUUUCGGUUCCCGCCGCUGGUGCUGCUGUCGAUGUGCGCGCAGUGCGCGCGUGCUGUGGCGCAUCUGCAUCGGCGCGGCGUUGUGCACCGUGACGUGAAGCCAGACAACUUCGUGGUGAAUGUUUUCGACACUGCUGGUGGUGCUGGUGCUGGCGGUGAUGGUGGCCGCCGUGACGCGCGGGCACCGCUCGUGCGCAUACUUGACUUUGGGCUCGCGUGCGGCGUGGAGGAGGUCGGGCAGGAGUUGAAGCGUUGCGUGGGGACACCGCACUACAUGGCACCGGAGACGCUUUCGCACCUCUGCGACUGCGACGUGCCUGCGGCGUGCGACGUGUGGAGCCUCGGGGUGACCUUGUUCCGAUUGGCCACUGGCGUCUUCCCGGUCUUUGACCAGGACUUGACGGCGUCGUGGCUUCCCGCAAAUGCCUCCUCGGCUUGCUUGGGUGUGCCCCACCUGCGAUCACCGUGGCCACGAGUUCUCGAGCGGUGCCCCGCGCCCUGGUGACUGUGGCCGGAUUGAUGCUUGCCAUGAACCCACGCCGUCGCCCAACCAUGGCAAGCGUUCUACUGCAGCUGCAGGGCAUCGGAGAGGCUCCAGAGUCGGCGCUGCCGAGCGUCUCGUCCCGCAUCCUCCAAAUGCGUGCGUGUCGCCCGGAUGUGAUGGUUGCCAUGUACGCCGUUCCGCAUGCCGCUGUGGGGCAGGCAGUCCGGUGGCACCUCCGACCUGGCGACACCUUCCUGGUAAAGGGGGAGUGGGAGAUGUGGAUGAAAAAGCUGUACGCGCGUGCCCUCACUGCACAGGACCGAGCGGUGCCGAGCUUGAAUACCGUCACCACAGUAGCGCCGCGACCGUGUACCGCCGACACCGAGACUGCGCGCACAGGUGUGCCCCGUCGCUGCCCGCGUUAGGCUUUUGGUUGCGCGUGGCGCACCCGCGCAAAGGACGCUGCCGUGACGUUAUCGAAGGCCAGCACGUCGUGCACGUUGCGGCGCGUCUUGGAAGCGAGGAGGCACGCAUGCGAUGCUCUCCAUUGCGUCCUCUGCUCUACGGUGCGGAGCUCUCGCAGGUUGUGGCGCCGAAACAGCCGUCAUUGCGCUCGCGAUGGACACCGUCAACGACUCCCCUCUACAUCGACGCUUCGGUGGGAAUGCCCGUGGCGCAUAAAAAAUGGCCGCUUGGCUUCUUGCGUGCUUCGAGAGAAGUCUCCGUCGCCGCUGCGUGGGGUGUGCCGUUGCAGCAGCAGCAGCAGCAGCAGCAGCAAAGACCACCCCGAUGAGGUAAGCAAGGCGGAGCAGCCGACGGGUCGGGGUAGCGCCGCGGAAAAAAGAAGCGUGAAAGGGCGGCUAUCUCUGUUCGUGCGCUUCCGCACGUCGAACAAGGGCCGCUCGUGCACUGUGAGGCCUUUGCAACUCCUCACACAGAUAUGCGUCUGCGUCGGCGCCACUUUUAUUCGUUUGUUUUCGUGCGCUUUUCUCUUGUUUCACUGCAUAUUCUCUGCGGCACGCUGCCCGCUGGCGCAUUCACCGCUUCUCCCGCACCCCCUCCCUUCUCCAUUCUUUCUCGGUCUACUGUCUUGUGACGCGUGUCUUUCUGCCUCUCUUUUUUCUCGCUCGCUGGUCUGUGCAACGGAGUAAAGUUGACGUACAGCUGCGUAUGUGCAUGUCUGUGUAGGUUUGUGUGCACGUGCGCUUGCGUGGCUUUGCCCCCUGUGCUGUACAUCGCCAUCCCCAGAACAGGGAACAUGCGACAAAAGAGGGAAGAGGAACGGCUGCUGACAUCGUCGUGCCAUGAGGGUGUGCUCGCGUGAUCGGUGAGCUGAAAGUCCGCUCAUGGCACUGAUAGAUGAAGGUGCACGGUUGAGAAGGGCAUCACGUAGAGACGUGCCUUCACCUGGUGUGUGCGGGCUGGUCUCUCUGCGCAUCCGCGGCUUGUGCGUGUGUGCCCGUAUGCACACGACCGUGCUCUGACUUUCUUACUUCCUUUUUACACCACACACACACACACACACACACACAUGCAUGCAUGUGCGUGCGGAGGCAUCUGCUCGCGCUGAGCAACAACCCCUGCUUAUCCCGCUUCCUGUGCGCCGCUGAGCAGGCCUCUGGCAUC